AAGACGACGACGGGUAGCCGGCCUGAGAGGGCGACCGGCCACACUGGGACUGAGACACGGCCCAGACUCCUACGGGAGGCAGCAGUGGGGAAUAUUGCACAAUGGGGGAAACCCUGAUGCAGCGACGCAGCGUGCGGGAUGACGGCCUUCGGGUUGUAAACCGCUUUCAGCAGGGAAGAAGCGCAAGUGACGGUACCUGCAGAAGAAGUACCGGCUAACUACGUGCCAGCAGCCGCGGUAAUACGUAGGGUACGAGCGUUGUCCGGAAUUAUUGGGCGUAAAGAGCUCGUAGGUGGUUGGUCACGUCUGCUGUGGAAACGCAACGCUUAACGUUGCGCGUGCAGUGGGUACGGGCUGACUAGAGUGCAGUAGGGGAGUCUGGAAUUCCUGGUGUAGCGGUGAAAUGCGCAGAUAUCAGGAGGAACACCGGUGGCGAAGGCGGGACUCUGGGCUGUAACUGACACUGAGGAGCGAAAGCAUGGGGAGCGAACAGGAUUAGAUACCCUGGUAGUCCAUGCCGUAAACGUUGGGCACUAGGUGUGGGGGGCAUUCCACGUUCUCCGCGCCGUAGCUAACGCAUUAAGUGCCCCGCCUGGGGAGUACGG
This 605-nucleotide ribosomal RNA is filed under the name Brevibacterium sp. CMT172. RNAcentral describes it as "bacterial SSU rRNA". It matches the Rfam family "Bacterial small subunit ribosomal RNA", at positions 270 to 885 of the family's 1533-position model. The record is from RNAcentral. Lineage: Bacteria; Bacillati; Actinomycetota; Actinomycetes; Micrococcales; Brevibacteriaceae.